RNAcentral lists this transfer RNA (74 nucleotides) under Longilinea arvoryzae. It matches the Rfam family "tRNA". Rfam says of the family: Transfer RNA (tRNA) molecules are approximately 80 nucleotides in length. RNAcentral also lists the same sequence under 6 other names. Lineage: Bacteria; Bacillati; Chloroflexota; Anaerolineae; Anaerolineales; Anaerolineaceae. The record is from Rfam by way of RNAcentral.
GGGCGGUUAGCUCAGUUGGUUAGAGCGUUGCGUUGACAUCGCAAAGGCCGUAGGUUCGAGUCCUAUACCGCCCA